RNAcentral lists this ribosomal RNA (566 nucleotides) under uncultured archaeon. RNAcentral's name for it is "bacterial SSU rRNA". It matches the Rfam family "Archaeal small subunit ribosomal RNA", at positions 311 to 879 of the family's 1478-position model. The record is from RNAcentral.
CCGCGAUUCGCCCUUCGGGGUGCAGCAGGCGCGAAAACUUCGCAAUGGGGGAAACCCCGACGAGGGAAUUCCAAGUGCUAGCACUUUGUGUUAGCUGUUCUUCUGUCUAAAAAACAGGAGAAGUAAGGGGCGGGUAAGACGGGUGCCAGCCGCCGCGGUAAUACCCGCGCCCCGAGUGGUGGUCGAUAUUAUUGAGCCUAAAACGUCCGUAGCCGGUCUUCUAAAUCCUUGGGUAAAUCGGGCAGCUUAACUGUCCGAAUUCCGGGGAGACUGGGAGACUUGGGACCGGGAGAGGUCAGAGGUACUUCUGGGGUAGGGGUAAAAUCCUGUAAUCCUGGAAGGACCACCGGUGGCGAAGGCGUCUGACUAGAACGGAUCCGACGGUGAGGGACGAAGCCCUGGGGCGCAAACGGGAUUAGAUACCCCGGUAGUCCAGGGUGUAAACGCUGCGGGCUUGGUGUUGGGGGUCCUUAGUGGGCGCCCAGUGCCGGAGAGAAGUUGUUAAGCCUGCUGCUUGGGGAGUAUGUCCGCAAGGAUGAAACUUAAAGGAAUUGGCGGGGGAGCAC